Long non-coding RNA from Vespa velutina, 1178 nucleotides. RefSeq lists it as uncharacterized. NCBI's taxonomy places the organism in Eukaryota, Metazoa, Arthropoda, Insecta, Hymenoptera, Vespidae. The transcript is spliced from 3 exons. The record is from RefSeq and is a predicted model, not a curated record.
GAUAUAAUAAUGAAUCAUUGUUAAUACGAACAGUUGUCGAGUAUGCGUAUACAUAUAAAACAUAUUGAAUUUUACCGCAAGUUAAUAUAUAUCGUUAUUAUAUACAAGUAGGAUUUAUGUGAACCUGCCAGCAUGAUUCGUAUCUAUGUUUAGCAGUUAUUUUCAUAUGGGAAUGGAAUAUUCGAAGAACGACAGAUGGCUGCUGUUGGUAACGUGUGUUCAAACAAGGAAGUAUAAGGACGUAACUUUUCAAUAGUCGUCUCCAAGACGUACACAGAUGGGAUUUACAUGAUCUCCUUUUAACGAUUAUAUCGUCCUUAAGUAUCUUAUUCAAGACAUCUCGAGAAAGCUCUCUUACCAGUCAUGACGAUGCGUGAUGCAAUUACACAGUCUGCUUCCUUCGAAAAGGAACGCCUGAUCGAGCGAUUGUCACUUCGGGGAAAACACGAAGUGAAUCCAUGAAGGAAUACAAAGAUAAAGAUUUGUUGACGUAUAGAAACAACGGGAAGGGACAUUAAUAUUAAUCCUUUCUAUUGGAAUGACGCCUUCAAGAUGUAUAUGAGAGAUUUAAGAAAGAAAAACAUUUCUAUAGAUUCUUUCUCUUGAAAAAUAUGAAAGUUAAUUUGGUAAAAGUUUAUUACCUGGUUUAUUAUACUGAUAUAUAUCUCAUUGAUUAAAUAAUAAUGUGAGUUAUCUAAUUAUAAAACGUGUGAUUUUAUAUAUAGAAAUGAUAAUAGAUAACCAUUAGAAUCGAUUGAAACAAAGUCGAUACUUAUGAUAAACUAAUUUCACUUACGACCUGAUUCCUUUGUAAUUGAAUUUAUAUAUAUACAUAUAAAUAUAUAUACAUAUAAAUAUAUAUAUAUAUAUAUAUAUAUAUAUAUAUAUAUAUAACUGUAAAUUAUGUAGGUAAUAUAUAUAACUGUAAUUCAGAAGUAUUUCGAACGCUGAGCACCGCUGCUGUUCGCUACAUUAGCCUAACGUUUUGAUUACAAUUUCAAUGUUAAGGUCACGAUGGUGAACUAUAAUCAUCGCUCGGCACAAUUUAUACUCAUCCAUUAUACGCAUGGCAACACGUGCAGGUACUUCGUUGAAACGGGAAAGGCAUAAAGCAAAGUUAUCGAUACCCUUCUAUCGAUAUUUCAUGUUGACUAUAAACGUCAUUUUUGUAUUAAAAA